GAUGAACGCUAGCUACAGGCUUAACACAUGCAAGUCAAGGGGAAACGAUAUUGGAAGCUUGCUUCCGAUAGGCGUCGACCGGCGCACGGGUGAGUAACGCGUAUCCAACCUGCCCAUCACUUGGGGAUAACCUUGCGAAAGUAAGACUAAUACCCAAUGACGUCUCUAGAAGACAUCUGAAGGAGAUUAAAGAUUUAUCGGUGAUGGAUGGGGAUGCGUCUGAUUGGCUUGUUGGCGGGGUAACGGCCCUCCAAGGCGACGAUCAGUAGGGGUUCUGAGAGGAAGGUCCCCCACAUUGGAACUGAGACACGGUCCAAACUCCUACGGGAGGCAGCAGUGAGGAAUAUUGGUCAAUGGGCGAGAGCCUGAACCAGCCAAGUAGCGUGCAGGAAGACGGCCCUAUGGGUUGUAAACUGCUUUUAUAAGGGAAUAAAGUGGGAGUCGUGACUCCUUUUGCAUGUACCUUAUGAAUAAGGACCGGCUAAUUCCGUGCCAGCAGCCGCCGUAA
This 508-nucleotide ribosomal RNA is filed under the name uncultured bacterium. RNAcentral describes it as "partial 16S ribosomal RNA". It matches the Rfam family "Bacterial small subunit ribosomal RNA", at positions 28 to 523 of the family's 1533-position model. The record is from RNAcentral.